RNAcentral lists this non-coding RNA (66 nucleotides) under Acyrthosiphon pisum (pea aphid). Lineage: Eukaryota; Metazoa; Arthropoda; Insecta; Hemiptera; Aphididae. The record is from RNAcentral.
CCCCCCCCAAGGACCCACCUUGCCGUGGUGUGGGGCUCACGCCCAAUACGGGCGUGCCAACGGGUC